Molecule: ribosomal RNA, 440 nt
Filed under: uncultured bacterium
Lineage: Bacteria
Description: bacterial SSU rRNA
Rfam family: Bacterial small subunit ribosomal RNA
Source: RNAcentral
CCUACGGGUGGCAGCAGUGGGGAAUAUUGGACAAUGGGCGAAAGCCUGAUCCAGCAAUGCCGCGUGUGUGAAGAAGGCCUGCGGGUUGUAAAGCACUUUCAGUUGGGAAGAACCAGCGGCCGGUUAAUACCCGGUCGUCCUGACGUAACCAACAGAAGAAGCACCGGCUAACUCCGUGCCAGCAGCCGCGGUAAUACGAAGGGGGCUAGCGUUGUUCGGAAUUACUGGGCGUAAAGCGCACGUAGGCGGACAUUUAAGUCAGGGGUGAAAUCCCGGGGCUCAACCCCGGAACUGCCUUUGAUACUGGGUGUCUGGAGUCCGGAAGAGGUGAGUGGAAUUCCGAGUGUAGAGGUGAAAUUCGUAGAUAUUCGGAGGAACACCAGUGGCGAAGGCGGCUCACUGGUCCGGUACUGACGCUGAGGUGCGAAAGCGUGGGGAGC